Molecule: ribosomal RNA, 1758 nt
Filed under: Staphylococcus aureus M1225
Lineage: Bacteria; Bacillati; Bacillota; Bacilli; Caryophanales; Staphylococcaceae
Description: bacterial LSU rRNA
Rfam family: Bacterial large subunit ribosomal RNA
Source: RNAcentral
CCGAAAAUGUACCGGGGCUAAACAUAUUACCGAAGCUGUGGAUUGUCCUUUGGACAAUGGUAGGAGAGCGUUCUAAGGGCGUUGAAGCAUGAUCGCAAGGACAUGUGGAGCGCUUAGAAGUGAGAAUGCCGGUGUGAGUAGCGAAAGAUGGGUGAGAAUCCCGUCCACCGAUUGACUAAGGUUUCCAGAGGAAGGCUCGUCCGCUCUGGGUUAGUCGGGUCCUAAGCUGAGGCCGACAGGCGUAGGCGAUGGAUAACAGGUUGAUAUUCCUGUACCACCUAUAAUCGUUUUAAUCGAUGGGGGGGACGCAGUAGGAUAGGCGAAGCGUGCGAUUGGAUUGCACGUCUAAGCAGUAAGGCUGAGUAUUAGGCAAAUCCGGUACUCGUUAAGGCUGAGCUGUGAUGGGGAGAAGACAUUGUGUCUUCGAGUCGUUGAUUUCACACUGCCGAGAAAAGCCUCUAGAUAGAAAAUAGGUGCCCGUACCGCAAACCGACACAGGUAGUCAAGAUGAGAAUUCUAAGGUGAGCGAGCGAACUCUCGUUAAGGAACUCGGCAAAAUGACCCCGUAACUUCGGGAGAAGGGGUGCUCUUUAGGGUUAACGCCCAGAAGAGCCGCAGUGAAUAGGCCCAAGCGACUGUUUAUCAAAAACACAGGUCUCUGCUAAACCGUAAGGUGAUGUAUAGGGGCUGACGCCUGCCCGGUGCUGGAAGGUUAAGAGGAGUGGUUAGCUUCUGCGAAGCUACGAAUCGAAGCCCCAGUAAACGGCGGCCGUAACUAUAACGGUCCUAAGGUAGCGAAAUUCCUUGUCGGGUAAGUUCCGACCCGCACGAAAGGCGUAACGAUUUGGGCACUGUCUCAACGAGAGACUCGGUGAAAUCAUAGUACCUGUGAAGAUGCAGGUUACCCGCGACAGGACGGAAAGACCCCGUGGAGCUUUACUGUAGCCUGAUAUUGAAAUUCGGCACAGCUUGUACAGGAUAGGUAGGAGCCUUUGAAACGUGAGCGCUAGCUUACGUGGAGGCGCUGGUGGGAUACUACCCUAGCUGUGUUGGCUUUCUAACCCGCACCACUUAUCGUGGUGGGAGACAGUGUCAGGCGGGCAGUUUGACUGGGGCGGUCGCCUCCUAAAAGGUAACGGAGGCGCUCAAAGGUUCCCUCAGAAUGGUUGGAAAUCAUUCAUAGAGUGUAAAGGCAUAAGGGAGCUUGACUGCGAGACCUACAAGUCGAGCAGGGUCGAAAGACGGACUUAGUGAUCCGGUGGUUCCGCAUGGAAGGGCCAUCGCUCAACGGAUAAAAGCUACCCCGGGGAUAACAGGCUUAUCUCCCCCAAGAGUUCACAUCGACGGGGAGGUUUGGCACCUCGAUGUCGGCUCAUCGCAUCCUGGGGCUGUAGUCGGUCCCAAGGGUUGGGCUGUUCGCCCAUUAAAGCGGUACGCGAGCUGGGUUCAGAACGUCGUGAGACAGUUCGGUCCCUAUCCGUCGUGGGCGUAGGAAAUUUGAGAGGAGCUGUCCUUAGUACGAGAGGACCGGGAUGGACAUACCUCUGGUGUACCAGUUGUCGUGCCAACGGCAUAGCUGGGUAGCUAUGUGUGGACGGGAUAAGUGCUGAAAGCAUCUAAGCAUGAAGCCCCCCUCAAGAUGAGAUUUCCCAACUUCGGUUAUAAGAUCCCUCAAAGAUGAUGAGGUUAAUAGGUUCGAGGUGGAAGUAUGGUGACAUGUGGAGCUGACGAAUACUAAUCGAUCGAAGACUUAAUCAA